This 406-nucleotide ribosomal RNA is filed under the name uncultured bacterium. RNAcentral's name for it is "partial 16S ribosomal RNA". It matches the Rfam family "Bacterial small subunit ribosomal RNA", at positions 30 to 526 of the family's 1533-position model. The record is from RNAcentral.
AUUGAACGCUGGCGGCAGGCCUAACACAUGCAAGUCGAACGAGUGGCGGACGGGUGAGUAAUGUCUGGGAAACUGCCCGAUGGAGGGGGAUAACUACUGGAAACGGUAGCUAAUACCGCAUACCCUCGGAUGUGCCCAGAUGGGAUUAGCUAGUAGGUGGGGUAACGGCUCACCUAGGCGACGAUCCCUAGCUGGUCUGAGAGGAUGACCAGCCACACUGGAACUGAGAAACGGUCCAGACUCCUACGGGGGGCAGCAGUGGGGAAUAUUGCACAAUGGGGCAAAGCCUGAGACAGCCAUGCCGCGUGUAUGAAGAAGGCCUUCGGGUUGUAAAGUACUUUCAGCGAGGAGGCGUUACUCGCAGAAGAAGCACCGGCUAACUCCGUGCCAGCAGCCGCGGUAAUUC